RNAcentral lists this ribosomal RNA (447 nucleotides) under uncultured organism. RNAcentral describes it as "partial 16S ribosomal RNA". It matches the Rfam family "Bacterial small subunit ribosomal RNA", at positions 332 to 796 of the family's 1533-position model. The record is from RNAcentral.
UACACUCCUGCGGGAGGCAGCAGUGGGGAAUAUUGGACAAUGGGGGCAACCCUGAUCCAGCCAUGCCGCGUGAGUGAUGAAGGCCCUAGGGUUGUAAAGCUCUUUUGUGCGGGAAGAUAAUGACGGUACCGCAAGAAUAAGCCCCGGCUAACUUCGUGCCAGCAGCCGCGGUAAUACGAAGGGGGCUAGCGUUGCUCGGAAUCACUGGGCGUAAAGGGUGCGUAGGCGGGUCUUUAAGUCAGGGGUGAAAUCCUGGAGCUCAACUCCAGAACUGCCUUUGAUACUGAGGAUCUUGAGUCCGGAAGAGGUGAGUGGAACUGCGAGUGUAGAGGUGAAAUUCGUAGAUAUUCGCAAGAACACCAGUGGCGAAGGCGGCUCACUGGUCCGGUACUGACGCUGAGGCACGAAAGCGUGGGGAGCAAACAGGAUUAGAUACCCUAGUAGUCC